CCUGGCUCCAGAUUGAACGCUGGCGGAAUGGCUUUACACAUUGCAAGUCGAACGGCAGCACGGGAGCUUGCUCCUGGUGGCGAGUGCGAACGGGUGAGUAAUGCGUCGGAACGUGCCGAGUAAGUGGGGGAUAACGCAGCGAAAGUUGUGCUAAUACCGCAUACGCCCUGAGGGGGAAAGUGGGGGAUCGCAAGACCUCACGUUAUUCGAGCGGCCGACGUCUGAUUAGCUAGUUGGUGGGGUAAAGGCCUACCAAGGCGACGAUCAGUAGCGGGUCUGAGAGGAUGAUCCGCCACACUGGGACUGAGACACGGCCCAGACUCCUACGGGAGGCAGCAGUGGGGAAUUUUGGACAAUGGGGGCAACCCUGAUCCAGCCAUUCCGCGUGAGUGAAGAAGGCCUUCGGGUUGUAAAGCUCUUUCAGCUGGAGUGAAACGGUGCGCUCUAACAUAGCGUGCUAAUGACGGUACCAGCAGAAGAAGCACCGGCUAACUACGUG
This 499-nucleotide ribosomal RNA is filed under the name uncultured bacterium. RNAcentral describes it as "bacterial SSU rRNA". It matches the Rfam family "Bacterial small subunit ribosomal RNA", at positions 18 to 507 of the family's 1533-position model. The record is from RNAcentral.